This 1220-nucleotide ribosomal RNA is filed under the name Maracuya witches'-broom phytoplasma. Its description in RNAcentral is "partial 16S ribosomal RNA". It matches the Rfam family "Bacterial small subunit ribosomal RNA", at positions 155 to 1358 of the family's 1533-position model. The record is from RNAcentral. Lineage: Bacteria; Bacillati; Mycoplasmatota; Mollicutes; Acholeplasmatales; Acholeplasmataceae.
GNGGCGGGUNGNUNCNNGGGGNAAAGGGNGNAUUUUCNAUAAUGGGAAAACUCNGGCAUGCUUAGGGAGGAGCUUGCGUCACAUUAGUUAGUUGUUUUGGUAAUGGCCUACCAAGACAAUGAUGUGUGGCCGGACUGAGAGGUUGAACGGCCACAUUGGGACUGAGACACGGCCCAAACUCCUACGGGAGGCAGCAGUAGGGAAUUUUCGGCAAUGGAGGAAACUCUGACCGAGCAACGCCGCGUGAACGAUGAAGUAUCUCGGUACGUAAAGUUCUUUUAUUAAGGAAGAAAAAAUGGUGGAAAAACCAUUCUGACGGUACUUAAUGAAUAAGCCCCGGCUAACUAUGUGCCAGCAGCCGCGGUAAUACAUAGGGGGCAAGCGUUAUCCGGAAUUAUUGGGCGUAAAGGGUGCGUAGGCGGUUAGGUAAGUUUAUGGUGUAAGUUCAACGCUUAACGUUGUGAUGCUAUAAAAACUGCCUAACUAGAGUUGGAUAGAGGCAAGUGGAAUUCCACCCGGUGGACUGGUAAAAAGCGGAAAAAAAGGGAGGAACACCCAGCGGCCAAGGCGGCUUGCUGGGUCUUAACCGACCCAGAGGCACGAAAGCGUGGGGAGCAACACCAGGAUUAGAGACCCUGGGACUCCCCCGCCGCAAACAAUGAGCACUAAACGUUGGGGCAAACCAGGUUUGAAGUUAACACAUUAACUACUCCGCCAGAGUAGUACGCCCGCAAGUAAGAAAAUUAAAGCAAUUGACGGGGCCCGCACAACCGGGGGAUCAUGUUGCUUAAUUGAAAGGCACCCGAAAACCCUCACCCGGUCCGAACAAGUUUCGGAAAGCNGAAAAACCAGUGAGGUUAUCAGUUGCCCAGGGGGCGCAAGGGGGUCGUCAGCCCGUGACGUGAGACGGGGGGUUAAGUCCCNCAACGAGCCCACCCCCAGAUGUUAGUUUCCCGCACGGAAAGGUGGGCACGUUAACAAGACGCCCAGUGAUAAAAGGGACGAAGGGGGGGAAAAAGUCAAAACAUCAGCCCCCCUAAGCCCUGGGGCCCGAACGUCAGACAAAGGGUGUCCCAACGGGCGGCCAAAACGCCCCCUGAUGGUGGUCUCGAAAACCAGAAAAAAAACGGUUUGUAGUUGAAAAAGCGUUUUCAUUAAGGGGGAGUUUUUCCCAUUAGGGAAUAAGCCCCCCCUUUCCCCCCNNNANCCACCCNNCCNCC